Molecule: ribosomal RNA, 171 nt
Filed under: Triticum aestivum (bread wheat)
Lineage: Eukaryota; Viridiplantae; Streptophyta; Magnoliopsida; Poales; Poaceae
Description: partial small subunit ribosomal RNA
Source: RNAcentral
AUGUCUCUUAUUAUGUUGAUCUCGUGGGAAAUUUGGAACGAGAGGAAUGCACGCGUCUUCCGUAACACCGCAGUGUCGGUUGGGGUUCUGGUUGCAAGAAUCAAAGAUGUUUCAAAGUGUUGGUGCCUUGCAGGGGCCAAAUAUUUGAGUACUAUAGUGCUGCGAGAGUGA